Molecule: non-coding RNA, 99 nt
Organism: Roridomyces roridus
Lineage: Eukaryota; Fungi; Basidiomycota; Agaricomycetes; Agaricales; Mycenaceae
Source: the annotation of a GenBank genome assembly
UGUUCCGUGGCCCAGUUGGUUAAGGCGCACGACUGUUACCUUCGCUCACUCGAGCUGGUCGGCAUCGUGCGAUCGCGGGUUCGACUCCCUCCGGAACAG